RNAcentral lists this ribosomal RNA (339 nucleotides) under uncultured bacterium. RNAcentral describes it as "bacterial SSU rRNA". It matches the Rfam family "Bacterial small subunit ribosomal RNA", at positions 30 to 369 of the family's 1533-position model. The record is from RNAcentral.
AUUGAACGCUGGCGGCAGGCCUAACACAUGCAAGUCGAGCGGUAGAGAGGUGCUUGCAUCUCUUGAGAGCGGCGGACGGGUGAGUAAUGCCUAGGAAUCUGCCUAGUGGUGGGGGAUAACGUUCGGAAACGGACGCUAAUACCGCAUACGUCCUACGGGAGAAAGCGGGGGAUCUUCGGACCUCGCGCCAUUAGAUGAGCCUAGGUCGGAUUAGCUAGUUGGUGAGGUAAUGGCUCACCAAGGCGACGAUCCGUAACUGGUCUGAGAGGAUGAUCAGUCACACUGGGACUGAGACACGGCCCAGACUCCUACGGGAGGCAGCAGUGGGGAAUAUUGGAC